Molecule: long non-coding RNA, 766 nt
Filed under: Androctonus crassicauda
Lineage: Eukaryota; Metazoa; Arthropoda; Arachnida; Scorpiones; Buthidae
Source: RNAcentral
CUAUUAGUAUUUAUGCAUCCUGUAAUGCCUAAGUACUCAUUUUUUGACCUCCUAAGUUUUUGCUUUUUUCUAAAUAUAAGUUGGGAUAUUAGCUAUCAUAAAUUCUACUCAUUAGACUUUCCUGUUUCACUGAUAUAAGUUUCAAAUUUCUGCUGCUAGAGAGCUCUGAGUUAUAGCCAGAAACAUGGCAGCAUGAACAACAAUGUUAGUGCAUCUGAAGUAGUGUGUGGUGAUAGUUUUUAACUGCAAAAAAUGUGCCUCUGAUUGAUAUUCAUUAGAGAAUGAAAGCUCUUUAUAGGGAUAAAUGCAUAGACAUCAGUAUUGUGCAACAUUGGGCUGUACAUGUUUAUAAUGAAGAACAUAAUGAUGCUCUUAACUUGUGUGACAAAAAACAGGACUGGAAGGUUAUGUAUUGUAAUUAAUGAAGCUCAUCAUCAUCAUGCUGAUGAACUCAUUAAAAGAAAUUGUCACAAUGGAAGAACAACCGUCAAUUGUGGCAUAUCUCGGGAACAUGUGCAGGCAAUAAUUGCAGAACUGAGAUUGUGAAAACUUUGUGCACAAUGAGUUCCUCAAAUGCUCAUUCCUCAUACAAAUCAAACGAGAUUGGAAAUUAACCAAUAAUUGUUUCUGUGCUCCGAACAUGAAGAUGAUUGAUUCUUAAACAAAAAAAAAGCUGGGUAUAUACCAUUUCAAUCCUGAAAGCAAGAUAAUGUCCACAGACAUUAAAUUGCUUUCAAUGGUCCACAAAUUAUAUUUUGUAUGUGAU